RNAcentral lists this long non-coding RNA (1053 nucleotides) under Sinocyclocheilus anshuiensis. RNAcentral's name for it is "lncRNA (ENSSANG00000039544.1)". Lineage: Eukaryota; Metazoa; Chordata; Actinopteri; Cypriniformes; Cyprinidae. The record is from RNAcentral.
GAACUUGAAGAAGUGAAGAGCUUUCUGCGCAUGUGCGAGCCCUGCAACCUCUCCAAACUCUUGGACUGGAAUGGGACUGGUAAAUUAAAGCGUGUAGACCUCAGUGCUCUGUUUAAAAAGGAAGGCUUCUCCAUACAUCCUGAGCGGCUGAAUGUGAUGAUGUCCUCUUUUAAUAGUAUGGAUGGAAACUGGGUAACUGUGGAAGUUCUGGCUGCUUAUAUUCAGGCCUGGAGCAGAAAGCAUGAGGAAAACGAAGAACAACAAUCAAGCCCAGGUUAUUGGAAUGCAGACUGUGAGGGAAGGAUUGGGUCAAGACACCAUCUUCCAAUACAUGGAGACGAGAAAGAUGACCAGGAGGUCCUGCAGGACGUGGAGGUGUUAGCGAUCAUGCGGAGAGUGCUGGCAGCCACCAAGACCUCUUGUCCUUCUUCUCUGAGUGGCCCAGUGGGCAGAGAAGUGGAUCGUUUCAGGAGACUUUGUUUCAGUGAAUACCUGAAAUCACUGGAGCAAUGCCAACGACAAGGGCUAAAUGUGAGCCAGGUCACACUACAGAAAGUCCUGUUGCACCCUGGUGACAAAUUUGGAGGUUACUUUGGGACACCCAAAACACAUCGAGUUGAAGGUGGAGCACAUAAGGGCCACAAAAACAUGAAGCCGGUUUGCUGGGUGGACCCUAAUGCUUUCUGGCCUGGAAGGGAAGAUCAUGUGCGUUUGUUUCUGCCUGUAAUGACAAGCUCUCCUGCAAUGGUUUUAUUUCAGCGUAUCGAACAUACUGUUGUGCCAAGUCCUGGACACUGGCCUGUAAAUCAUUUAGGAUACUCAACCUCUGGAGACAUAGAAGCUCACAAAACAUACAGCCUCUAGAACAUCUUUGACUGUAUUGAAUGUCUGUAGGGAUGUCAAAUGGGAAAUUGUUGUUUUGACUUUCUAAAAAGUACAUUUCUACCAUUAGAUGGCGGCACGCAAACGCUGAAAUUCUACUGUAGGUGCGCUGCUGUUUUUAGCUACACAGGUCUUUGCUUUUUUUCACUCAACAUAUUCUCCUCUGUGGCG